UGGGGAAUAUUGCACAAUGGGGGAAACCCUGAUGCAGCGACGCCGCGUGAGCGAAGAAGGUUUUCGAAUCGUAAAGCUCUGUCCUAUGGGAAGAUAAUGACGGUACCAUAGGAGGAAGCCCCGGCUAACUACGUGCCAGCAGCCGCGGUAAUACGUAGGGGGCAAGCGUUGUCCGGAAUCACUGGGCGUAAAGGGUUCGCAGGCGGAAAUGCAAGUCAGUUGUGAAAGGCAGAGGCUCAACCUCUGUAAGCAAUUGAAACUGUAUUUCUUGAGAUGUGGAGAGGCAAGUGGAAUUCCUAGUGUAGCGGUGAAAUGCGUAGAUAUUAGGAAGAUUACCGGUGGCGAAGGCGACUUGCUGGACACAAACUGACGCUGAGGAACGAAAGCGUGGGUAGCAAACAGG
This 403-nucleotide ribosomal RNA is filed under the name Fusobacteriota bacterium. Its description in RNAcentral is "Fusobacteria bacterium partial 16S ribosomal RNA". It matches the Rfam family "Bacterial small subunit ribosomal RNA", at positions 355 to 776 of the family's 1533-position model. Lineage: Bacteria; Fusobacteriati; Fusobacteriota. The record is from RNAcentral.